RNAcentral lists this ribosomal RNA (253 nucleotides) under uncultured bacterium. RNAcentral's name for it is "partial 16S ribosomal RNA". It matches the Rfam family "Bacterial small subunit ribosomal RNA", at positions 524 to 776 of the family's 1533-position model. The record is from RNAcentral.
UACGAAGGGUGCAAGCGUUACUCGGAAUUACUGGGCGUAAAGCGCACGUAGGCGGACCGGCCAGUCAGAGGUGAAAUCCCGAGGCUUAACCUCGGAACUGCCUUUGAUACUGCCGGUCUUGAGGACGAGAGAGGUGAGUGGAACUGCGAGUGUAGAGGUGAAAUUCGUAGAUAUUCGCAAGAACACCAGUGGCGAAGGCGGCUCACUGGCUCAUUUCUGACGCUGAGGUGCGAAAGCGUGGGGAGCAAACAGG